This 229-nucleotide long non-coding RNA is filed under the name Bos taurus (domestic cattle). RNAcentral's name for it is "long non-coding RNA NONBTAT016666". The record is from RNAcentral. Lineage: Eukaryota; Metazoa; Chordata; Mammalia; Artiodactyla; Bovidae.
AUCCACUCCGUGUGUACACAUAGGAACAAGUAUUAUGGCAAAUUUUUCUGCUCUUUUUUUUUUAAAUUUCUAGAAUGUUGGCUGUGACCUUUUGGGUAAAAAGGGUAUCAAGGAUAAGUCUAACUGAAGUUUCUGGUAGAGACUUCAUGAAGAAUAGGGUCAGCUAUAGUCUACAUAAUUUUUAAAAGGUCAUUCUCUCCCACGUUUUUAGAAGAGGUGCAGACCUUGG